CCUACGGGGGGCUGCAGUGGGGAAUUUUGGACAAUGGGCGCAAGCCUGAUCCAGCCAUGCCGCGUGAGUGAAGAAGGCCUUCGGGUUGUAAAGCUCUUUCGGCCGGGAAGAAAUCGUGUUCUCUAACAUAGGACAUGGAUGACGGUACCGGACUAAGAAGCACCGGCUAACUACGUGCCAGCAGCCGCGGUAAUACGUAGGGUGCGAGCGUUAAUCGGAAUUACUGGGCGUAAAGCGUGCGCAGGCGGUUUUGUAAGACAGAUGUGAAAUCCCCG
This 275-nucleotide ribosomal RNA is filed under the name uncultured Thauera sp. Its description in RNAcentral is "partial 16S ribosomal RNA". It matches the Rfam family "Bacterial small subunit ribosomal RNA", at positions 338 to 605 of the family's 1533-position model. Lineage: Bacteria; Pseudomonadati; Pseudomonadota; Betaproteobacteria; Rhodocyclales; Zoogloeaceae. The record is from RNAcentral.